Molecule: ribosomal RNA, 484 nt
Filed under: uncultured bacterium
Lineage: Bacteria
Description: partial 16S ribosomal RNA
Rfam family: Bacterial small subunit ribosomal RNA
Source: RNAcentral
AUUGAACGCUGGCGGAAUGCUUUACACAUGCAAGUCGAACGGCAGCACGGGGGCAACCCUGGUGGUGAGUGGCGAACGGGUGAGUAAUACAUCGGAACGUGCCCGGUCGUGGGGGAUAACGUAGCGAAAGUUACGCUAAUACCGCAUACGAUCUGAGGAUGAAAGCGGGGGACCUUCGGGCCUCGCGCGAUCGGAGCGGCCGAUGUCAGAUUAGGUAGUUGGUGGGGUAAAGGCCUACCAAGCCGACGAUCUGUAGCUGGUCUGAGAGGACGACCAGCCACACUGGGACUGGGACACGGCCCAGACUCCUACGGGAGGCAGCAGUGGGGAAUUUUGGACAAUGGGCGCAAGCCUGAUCCAGCCAUUCCGCGUGCAGGACGAAGGCCUUCGGGUUGUAAACUGCUUUUGUAUGGAACGAAAAGGCUCUGGCUAAUACCUGGGGCUCAUGACGGUACCGUAAGAAUAAGCACCGGCUAACUACGUG